UGGAUAGAUUAUUGUAUUCGACUAUAUUCACGGCGUGAAACUGGGGAUUACACUGUUUUUAAACAGAAAGUGAAUCAAUUAACAUAAUAACGACUCCU
MicroRNA precursor from Nicotiana attenuata, 98 nucleotides. It matches the Rfam family "MIR6152 microRNA precursor family". Lineage: Eukaryota; Viridiplantae; Streptophyta; Magnoliopsida; Solanales; Solanaceae. The record is from Rfam.